Molecule: ribosomal RNA, 437 nt
Filed under: uncultured bacterium
Lineage: Bacteria
Description: bacterial SSU rRNA
Rfam family: Bacterial small subunit ribosomal RNA
Source: RNAcentral
UCAGGCCUAACACAUGCAAGUCGAGCGGAUGAGUGGAGCUUGCUCCAUGAUUCAGCGGCGGACGGGUGAGUAAUGCCUAGGAAUCUGCCUGGUAGUGGGGGAUAACGUUUCGAAAGGAACGCUAAUACCGCAUACGUCCUACGGGAGAAAGUGGGGGAUCUUCGGACCUCACGCUAUCAGAUGAGCCUAGGUCGGAUUAGCUAGUUGGUGGGGUAAUGGCCCACCAAGGCGACGAUCCGUAACUGGUCUGAGAGGAUGAUCAGUCACACUGGAACUGAGACACGGUCCAGACUCCUACGGGAGGCAGCAGUGGGGAAUAUUGGACAAUGGGCGAAAGCCUGAUCCAGCCAUGCCGCGUGUGUGAAGAAGGUCUUCGGAUUGUAAAGCACAUGAAGUUGGAGGAAGGGCAGUAAGUUAAUACCUUGCUGUUUGACGUA